AGCAGCCGCGGUAAUUCCAGCUCCAAUAGCGUAUAUUAAAGUUGUUGCAGUUAAAAAGCUCGUAGUUGAAUUUCGGGACCAAUUUGUUGGUCGUGCCUCGGUACGUACUGGUAUUAUUGGUUUCUCCCUUCUGAAGAACCUCGAUGCCAUUAAUUUGGUGUCGUGGGGAAUCAGGACUGUUACUUUGAAAAAAUUAGAGUGUUUAAAGCAAGCAUACGCUUGAAUACAUUAGCAUGGAAUAAUGAAAUAGGACGUUUGAUUCUAUUUUGUUGGUUUCUAGGAUCGACGUAAUGAUUAAUAGGGAUAGUUGGGGGCAUUAGUAUUCAAUUGUCAGAGGUGAAAUUCUUGGAUUUAUUGAAGACUAACUACUGCGAAAGCAUUUGCCAAGGAUGUUUUCAUUAAUCAAGAACGAAAGUUAGGGGAUCGAAGACGAUCAGAUACCGUCGUAGUCUUAACCAUAAACUAUGCCGACUAGGGAUCGGAUGAUGUUAAUUUUUAAUGACUCGUUCGGCGCCUUACG
Molecule: ribosomal RNA, 520 nt
Filed under: uncultured Glomus
Lineage: Eukaryota; Fungi; Glomeromycota; Glomeromycetes; Glomerales; Glomeraceae
Description: SSU rRNA
Rfam family: Eukaryotic small subunit ribosomal RNA
Source: RNAcentral